Molecule: ribosomal RNA, 497 nt
Filed under: uncultured bacterium
Lineage: Bacteria
Description: partial 16S ribosomal RNA
Rfam family: Bacterial small subunit ribosomal RNA
Source: RNAcentral
GAUGAACGCUGGCGGCGUGCUUAAUACAUGCAAGUCGAGCGAACAGACGAUGAGCUUGUUGCUCUGACGUUUGCGGCGGGCGGGUGUGUCACACGUGUAUAACCUACUUAUCUGACUGGUAUAAUUUCGGGAAACCGGCUAUAAUACCGGAUAAUAUAUUGAUGCGCAUGGUUCAUUAGUGAAUGUCGGUUUUUCUGUCUCUUCUAGCUGGUUCCGCGCCGCAUUAGCUAGUUGGUAAGGUAACGGCUUACCAAGGCAACGAUGCGUAGCCGAAGUGAGGGGGGGAUCGGCGGCAAGGGAAGUUGGACACGGUCCAGACGCCUACGGGAGGCAGCAGUAGGGAAUCGUACGCAAUGGGCGAAAGCCUGACGGAGCAACGCCGCGUGAGUUAUGGAAGUGUUCCGAUCGUAAUACUGGGUUAUUAGGUAAGAACAAAUGUGGAAGUAGCCAAACACGUCUUGACGGUACCUAAUCAGAAAGCCCCGGCUAACUACGUG